UCUUUGACUCGGCUGAUGUUACUAUGUGAUACGUUUUCAAAGAGUCGAGUUGUUUGGGAAUGCAGCUCAAAAUGGGUGGUAAAUUUCAUCUAAGGCUAAAUAUUGGCGAGAGACCGAUAGCGAACAAGUACCGUGAGGGAAAGAUGAAAAGAACUUUGAAAAGAGAGUUAAACAGUGCGUGAAAUUGUUGAAAGGGAAACGUUUGACACCAGCUAUGUAGGCGGAAAAUCAGUCAAGCGCAGUGAGGGGCUGGUGUUUGUCCGGACCGCAAGGCCGGCGGAUAUCUCAUCUUUGCUGUGGGUGAUGCACUUUUUCGUUCGCAGGUCAACAUCAGUUUCGCUUGCUGGACAAAACCCCGAGAGAAGGUAGCAGCUUUGGCUGUGUUAUAGCUCUGGGGCGAUACAGUGGGUGGGACUGAGGAUUCGCAGUGUGUGCUCUCGGGCAAGGCUGACUGGGUGCUCUGGGGUCGUUUGGCGUACAAUGCUUGCAUUUUGCGUCUUGUCUUCUUCAGACUCGCUUAGUUCGGCUCUUCCA
Molecule: ribosomal RNA, 534 nt
Filed under: uncultured fungus
Lineage: Eukaryota; Fungi
Description: LSU rRNA
Rfam family: Eukaryotic large subunit ribosomal RNA
Source: RNAcentral